GGGGAUGACAGGCUUCGACGGGAGAGGCUGAUCCCGGAAUGCGAGCUGAGAGGCGCCGAACUCAUUAACUCAGCGCAAAAUUCAAGUGCCAACCGCACUUCCUACGCUGCCAUGCCACUCGCUGCAUAAGCGGUGAUUUGACAGUACGGUCUCUGAAAAAGGGACCGCGUCCACCGGCCCCGAUCUCCGCCAGGGACCGGCCUGGGCGUGACAAACGCGGAGUGCCGCGCACGACGCCGCUGCCUGCGCGAAAGACAAAGCGGCUGGCUGCAGGAAAUUCCGGCCGGACGAGGCUCCUGCAGCGACAAAUUCGACCGGCUACGCUCGUAGAUUUCCGAGGGUCGAUUCUUUCGGACGCGGGUUCGAUUCCCGCCAUCUCCACCU
RNAcentral lists this transfer-messenger RNA (384 nucleotides) under Anaerolineales. RNAcentral describes it as "RBG-16-51-16 sp001796785 Standard tmRNA". It matches the Rfam family "transfer-messenger RNA". Rfam says of the family: Bacterial tmRNA, also known as 10Sa RNA or SsrA, is named for its dual tRNA and mRNA-like properties. The record is from RNAcentral. RNAcentral also lists the same sequence under 1 other name. Lineage: Bacteria; Bacillati; Chloroflexota; Anaerolineae.